AUUGAACGCUGGCGGCAGGCCUAACACAUGCAAGUCGAGCGGAUGAAGGGAGCUUGCUCCUGGAUGCAGCGGCGGACGGGUGAGUAAUUCCUAGGAAUCUGCCUUGUCGUUGGGGAUAACGUCCGGAAACGGGCGCUAAUACCGCAUACGUCCUGAGUGAGAAAGUGGGGGAUCUUCGGACCUCACGCUAUCAGCUGAGCCUAAGUCGGAUUAGCUAGUUGGUUUGGUAAAGGCCUACCAAGGCGACGAUCCGUAACUGGUCUGAGAGGAUGAUCAGUCACACUGGAACUGAGACACGGUCCAGACUCCUACGGGAGGCAGCAGUGGGGAAUAUUGCACAAUGGGCGAAAGCCUGAUCCAGCCAUGCCGCGUGUGUGAAGAAGGUCUUCGGAUUGUAAAGCACUUUAAGUUGGGAGGAAGAGAAGUAAGUUAAUACCUUGCUGUUUUGACGUUACCAACAGAAUAAGCACCGGCUAACUUCGUG
RNAcentral lists this ribosomal RNA (484 nucleotides) under uncultured bacterium. RNAcentral's name for it is "partial 16S ribosomal RNA". It matches the Rfam family "Bacterial small subunit ribosomal RNA", at positions 30 to 507 of the family's 1533-position model. The record is from RNAcentral.